ACGGCGAAUGCCGGCAUGGACUACAUGGUGUCGCGGGUUCGAAUCCCGCCCUGCGCAAGCGGGUAGCUCAGCCUGGUAGAGCACAACCGUCCGCCAUCUUUCGUCGCCGUGAC
Molecule: Y RNA, 113 nt
Filed under: Sphingomonas aurantiaca
Lineage: Bacteria; Pseudomonadati; Pseudomonadota; Alphaproteobacteria; Sphingomonadales; Sphingomonadaceae
Also listed under: 1 other name
Description: YrlA
Rfam family: Y RNA-like
About the family: In Deinococcus radiodurans Rsr is tethered via Y RNA to the exoribonuclease PNPase and channels single-stranded RNA into the PNPase cavity.
Source: RNAcentral